This 253-nucleotide ribosomal RNA is filed under the name uncultured bacterium. RNAcentral describes it as "partial 16S ribosomal RNA". It matches the Rfam family "Bacterial small subunit ribosomal RNA", at positions 524 to 776 of the family's 1533-position model. The record is from RNAcentral.
UACGUAGGGUGCAAGCGUUAAUCGGAAUUACUGGGCGUAAAGCGUGCGCAGGCGGUUUUGUAAGUCUGUCGUGAAAGCCCCGGGCUCAACCUGGGAAUUGCGAUGGAGACUGCAAGGCUUGAAUCUGGCAGAGGGGGGUAGAAUUCCACGUGUAGCAGUGAAAUGCGUAGAGAUGUGGAGGAACACCGAUGGCGAAGGCAACCCCCUGGGCUGACACUGACGCUCAGGCACGAAAGCGUGGGGAGCAAACAGG